This 804-nucleotide ribosomal RNA is filed under the name bacterium. Its description in RNAcentral is "bacterial SSU rRNA". It matches the Rfam family "Bacterial small subunit ribosomal RNA", at positions 69 to 891 of the family's 1533-position model. The record is from RNAcentral.
AUGAACCACUUCGGUGGGGAUUAGUGGCGAACGGGUGAGUAACACGUGGGCAAUCUGCCCUGCACUCUGGGACAAGCCCUGGAAACGGGGUCUAAUACCGGAUACGACCAUCUUGGGCAUCCUUGAUGGUGGAAAGCUCCGGCGGUGCAGGAUGAGCCCGCGGCCUAUCAGCUUGUUGGUGAGGUAAUGGCUCACCAAGGCGACGACGGGUAGCCGGCCUGAGAGGGCGACCGGCCACACUGGGACUGAGACACGGCCCAGACUCCUACGGGAGGCAGCAGUGGGGAAUAUUGCACAAUGGGCGAAAGCCUGAUGCAGCGACGCCGCGUGAGGGAUGACGGCCUUCGGGUUGUAAACCUCUUUCAGCAGGGAAGAAGCGAAAGUGACGGUACCUGCAGAAGAAGCGCCGGCUAACUACGUGCCAGCAGCCGCGGUAAUACGUAGGGCGCAAGCGUUGUCCGGAAUUAUUGGGCGUAAAGAGCUCGUAGGCGGCUUGUCACGUCGGUUGUGAAAGCCCGGGGCUUAACCCCGGGUCUGCAGUCGAUACGGGCAGGCUAGAGUUCGGUAGGGGAGAUCGGAAUUCCUGGUGUAGCGGUGAAAUGCGCAGAUAUCAGGAGGAACACCGGUGGCGAAGGCGGAUCUCUGGGCCGAUACUGACGCUGAGGAGCGAAAGCGUGGGGAGCGAACAGGAUUAGAUACCCUGGUAGUCCACGCCGUAAACGGUGGGCACUAGGUGUGGGCACAUUCCACGUUGUCCGUGCCGCGCUAACGCAUUAAGUGCCCGCCUGGGGAGUACGGCCGCAG